AUACGUAGGGUGCAAGCGUUAAUCGGAAUUACUGGGCGUAAAGCGUGCGCAGGCGGUUUUGUAAGACAGUGGUGAAAUCCCCGGGCUCAACCUGGGAACUGCCAUUGUGACUGCAAGGCUGGAGUGCGGCAGAGGGGGAUGGAAUUCCGCGUGUAGCCGUGAAAGGCGUAGAUAUGCUGAGGAACACCGAUGGCGAAGGCAAUCCCCUGGGCCUGCACUGACGCUCAUGCACGAAAGCGUGGGGAGCAAACAGGAUUAGAUCCCCUGGUAGUCCACGCCCUAAACGAUGUCAACUGGUUGUUGGGGAUUUAUUUUCUCAGUAACGAAGCUAACGCGUGAAGUUGACCGCCUGGGGAGUACGGCCGCAAGGUUAAAACUCAAAGGAAUUGGCGGGG
Molecule: ribosomal RNA, 395 nt
Filed under: uncultured bacterium
Lineage: Bacteria
Description: partial 16S ribosomal RNA
Rfam family: Bacterial small subunit ribosomal RNA
Source: RNAcentral